This 246-nucleotide ribosomal RNA is filed under the name uncultured bacterium. RNAcentral's name for it is "partial small subunit ribosomal RNA". It matches the Rfam family "Bacterial small subunit ribosomal RNA", at positions 26 to 285 of the family's 1533-position model. The record is from RNAcentral.
AGAAUCAACGCUGGCGGCGUGCCUAACACAUGCAAGUCGCACGAGAAAGGGGAGCAAUCCCUGAGUAAAGUGGCGCACGGGUGAGUAACACGUGAAUGAUCUACCUCCGAGUGGGGAAUAAACUGAGAGAAAUCUUAGCUAAUACCGCAUAACACUUACGAGUCAAAGCAGCAAUGCGCUUGGAGAGGAGUUCGCGGCCGAUUAGCUAGUUGGCGGGGUAAUGGCCCACCAAGGCGAUGAUCGGUA